This 401-nucleotide unclassified non-coding RNA is filed under the name Hevea brasiliensis (rubber tree). Lineage: Eukaryota; Viridiplantae; Streptophyta; Magnoliopsida; Malpighiales; Euphorbiaceae. The record is from RNAcentral.
GGAAAAUUUGCACUAACCGCAUGUAGAAAGUUACAUAAAUUUUUAACAACAGUAUUCAAUAUAUCCUUUCAAACUGAGACACUCGAGUUACUUUCUGACUGACGUUUAGUUUGGUUCAGCAUAUACUUAUGCCAUUAUGCAGACAUGCAACUCUACCUAGUUCGAUCCCAUCCAGGAAUCUCUAACUAGAAUUUCAAAAACUCACUAGCUCUCUGUUUGGUUGCCCAGAAAAGUGGGCUUAAAAAGAGCAAUAUCAAACAAAUUCCGAGCAUAACCCAUUGCAUUGCUCCGUUUUCUCAUCAAACAAACACCCACCAUCCUUCUCUACAGCAAAUUGAUCAUACCGUGGCACUAGGGUUUCAAUAAAAAUAAUAUACAUAUGUAAAUAAACAAGAAUCAUU